UGGUGUUCGGGUUGUCAUGCCAAUGGCACUGCCCGGUAGCUAAAUGCGGAAGAGAUAAGUGCUGAAAGCAUCUAAGCACGAAACUUGCCCCGAGAUGAGUUCUCCCUGAGACUUAGAGUCUCCUGAAGGAACGUUGAAGACGACGACGUUGAUAGGCCGGGUGUGUAAGCGCAGCGAUGCGUUGAGCUAACCGGUACUAAUGAACCGUGAGGCUUAACCUU
This 221-nucleotide ribosomal RNA is filed under the name Escherichia coli. RNAcentral's name for it is "partial 23S ribosomal RNA". It matches the Rfam family "Bacterial large subunit ribosomal RNA", at positions 2710 to 2925 of the family's 2925-position model. The record is from RNAcentral. RNAcentral also lists the same sequence under 1 other name. Lineage: Bacteria; Pseudomonadati; Pseudomonadota; Gammaproteobacteria; Enterobacterales; Enterobacteriaceae.